RNAcentral lists this long non-coding RNA (723 nucleotides) under Ananas comosus (pineapple). RNAcentral describes it as "long non-coding RNA (ACOM_LNC040089)". Lineage: Eukaryota; Viridiplantae; Streptophyta; Magnoliopsida; Poales; Bromeliaceae. The record is from RNAcentral.
UAGAAACCACAAAAAACCAAACUCAGUACUCGACUCGACUAAUAGAGCUUAAAUUUGGAAAAAAUUGAGUCGAUUACCAUACCAAGCUUCCAACCAGCAACCCACUGGUUUGGUGCUGCGAAAAACCUUCCAAAAUACCCUCUCACACGUCCACAAAGGCUCAGCGACACUCGCAAGCAGCGAAGAACAAGCGAGGCGACGAAAUCGAGCUAAAUCGUUGAUUUCUAUGUAGAGAGAGAAAACUUCUAGAGUGAGAGAGUAAGAGAGGUGCAAGGCUGCUUCUCAGAGCUCUAGCAUCAUCCACAAGGGUCCAGGGGUUAACCUUGCUGCCACAUUUCUGCCAGUCUGUACCGGUACAAGGUGAUGGCUGUACCGGUACAGCAAGCAGAAAAAUACUGAUUUCGUCCGUUCAAUGCACUUUCUUGCUUUUAACUUUCCAAUCACCCUCUAACUUGUCCAAAAACUUGUCUAAGCCCUCUAGAAUAUGUAGGGUAGUUCCACAUACCAUUUCCCACAUUCGAACUUCGCAAUUGUCCAAAUUCGAAGCAUUGCAAUUGAUAAUGCAUUUGCGAUGCAAUUUUCCAAUUCCAGUUACUUUCUCACUUCAGUAACUUGUCAAAACCUUUCUAAGGUCUAUCAAACGUCGUAGAUCAGUUCCAAAAGCCAUUCCAACCCUUGAACUUGUCAAUAGGCCCAGAUUCAGUAUAUUACAGUAAGACAAUA